Molecule: ribosomal RNA, 631 nt
Filed under: Salmonella enterica subsp. enterica serovar Thompson
Lineage: Bacteria; Pseudomonadati; Pseudomonadota; Gammaproteobacteria; Enterobacterales; Enterobacteriaceae
Also listed under: 1 other name
Description: partial 23S ribosomal RNA
Rfam family: Bacterial large subunit ribosomal RNA
Source: RNAcentral
GGUUAACGGAGCGAAAGCGACGUUCAACCGCAAAACAAGCAGAGGGGGCUUAGUGGUGGGGUGACUGCGUACCUUUUGUAUAAUGGGUCAGCGACUUAUAUUCUGUAGCAAGGUUAACCGUAUAGGGGAGCCGGAGGGAAACCGAGUCUUAAUUGGGCGUUAAGUUGCAGGGUAUAGACCCGAAACCCGGUGAUCUAGCCAUGGGCAGGUUGAAGGUUGGGUAACACUAACUGGAGGACCGAACCGACUAAUGUUGAAAAAUUAGCGGAUGACCUGUGGCUGGGGGUGAAAGGCCAAUCAAACCGGGAGAUAGCUGGUUCUCCCCGAAAGCUAUUUAGGUAGCGCCUCGUGAAUUCAUCUCCGGGGGUAGAGCACUGUUUCGGCUAGGGGGCCAUCCCGGCUUACCAACCCGAUGCAAACUGCGAAUACCGGAGAAUGUUAUCACGGGAGACACACGGCGGGUGCUAACGUCCGUCGUGAAGAGGGAAACAACCCAGACCGCCAGCUAAGGUCCCAAAGUCAUGGUUAAGUGGGAAACGAUGUGGGAAGGCCCAGACAGCCAGGAUGUUGGCUUAGAAGCAGCCAUCAUUUAAAGAAAGCGUAAUAGCUCACUGGUCGAGUCGGCCUGCGC